CCUUGACAUACUAAGAAACUUUCCAGAGAUGGAUUGGUGCCUUCGGGAACUUAGAUACAGGUGCUGCAUGGCUGUCGUCAGCUCGUGUCGUGAGAUGUUGGGUUAAGUCCCGCAACGAGCGCAACCCUUUUCCUUAUUUGCCAGCGGGUCAUGCCGGGAACUUUAAGGAUACUGCCAGUGACAAACUGGAGGAAGGCGGGGACGACGUCAAGUCAUCAUGGCCCUUACGGCCAGGGCUACACACGUGCUACAAUGGUCGGUACAAAGGGUUGCUACCUCGCGAGAGGAUGCUAAUCUCAAAAAGCCGAUCGUAGUCCGGAUCGCAGUCUGCAACUCGACUGCGUGAAGUCGGAAUCGCUAGUAAUCGCGGAUCAGAAUGCCGCGGUGAAUACGUUCCCGGGCCUUGUACACACCGCCCGUCACACCAUGGGAGUUUGUUGCACCAGAAGUAGGUAGUCUAACCGCAAGGAGGACGCUUACCACGGUGUGGCCGAUGACUGGGGUGAAGUCGUAACAAGGUAAGCGUAGAUGA
Molecule: ribosomal RNA, 532 nt
Filed under: uncultured bacterium
Lineage: Bacteria
Description: bacterial SSU rRNA
Rfam family: Bacterial small subunit ribosomal RNA
Source: RNAcentral